UACGGAGGAUCCGAGCGUUAUCCGGAUUUAUUGGGCUUAAAGGGUGCGUAGGCGGCCUUGUAAGUCAGGGGUGAAAGACGGUAGCUUAACUAUCGCAGUGCCUUUGAUACUGCAGGGCUUGAAUGUACUUGAGGUAGGCGGAAUGUGACAAGUAGCGGUGAAAUGCAUAGAUAUGUCACAGAACACCAAUUGCGAAGGCAGCUUACUAAAGUAUGAUUGACGCUGAGGCACGAAAGCGUGGGGAGCAAACAGG
RNAcentral lists this ribosomal RNA (253 nucleotides) under uncultured bacterium. Its description in RNAcentral is "partial 16S ribosomal RNA". It matches the Rfam family "Bacterial small subunit ribosomal RNA", at positions 524 to 776 of the family's 1533-position model. The record is from RNAcentral.